UACGUAGGGGGCCAGCGUUGUCCGGACUUACUGGGCGUAAAGCGCGCGCAGGUGGAUGAGUAUGUGCCGUGUGAAAGCGCCGUCCUUACGAUGGCGAGGUCGUGGUAGACAGCUUAUCUAGAGGCUCGAAGAGGUCGAUGGAAUUCCGGGUGGAGCGGUGAAAUGCGCAGAUAUCAGGAGGAACACCGGUGGCGAAGGCGGGUCUCUGGGCCGUAACUGACGCUGAGGAGCGAAAGCGUGGGGAGCGAACAGG
RNAcentral lists this ribosomal RNA (253 nucleotides) under uncultured bacterium. Its description in RNAcentral is "partial 16S ribosomal RNA". It matches the Rfam family "Bacterial small subunit ribosomal RNA", at positions 524 to 776 of the family's 1533-position model. The record is from RNAcentral.